CCUACGGGGGGCAGCAGUGAGGAAUAUUGGUCAAUGGACGAGAGUCUGAACCAGCCAAGUAGCGUGAAGGAUGACUGCCCUAUGGGUUGUAAACUUCUUUUAUAUGGGAAUAAAAUGUUCCACGUGUGGGAUUUUGUAUGUACCAUAUGAAUAAGGAUCGGCUAACUCCGUGCCAGCAGCCGCGGUAAUACGGAGGAUCCGAGCGUUAUCCGGAUUUAUUGGGUUUAAAGGGAGCGUAGGUGGAUUGUUAAGUCAGGUGUGAAAGUUUGCGGCUCAACCGUAAAAUUGCAGUUGAAACUGGCAGUCUUGAGUACAGUAGAGGUGGGCGGAAUUCGUGGUGUAGCGGUGAAAUGCUUAGAUAUCACGAAGAACUCCGAUCGCGAAGGCAGUUCACUGGACUGCAACUGACACUGAGGCUCGAAAGUGUGGGUAUCAAACAGGAUUAGAUACCCUAGUAGUC
This 460-nucleotide ribosomal RNA is filed under the name uncultured bacterium. Its description in RNAcentral is "partial 16S ribosomal RNA". It matches the Rfam family "Bacterial small subunit ribosomal RNA", at positions 338 to 795 of the family's 1533-position model. The record is from RNAcentral.